UGGGGAAUUUUGGACAAUGGGCGCAAGCCUGAUCCAGCCAUGCCGCGUGAGUGAAGAAGGCCUUCGGGUUGUAAAGCUCUUUCGGUGGGGACGAAACGGUUCGUGACAACACCACGGACUAAUGACGGUACCCGCAUAAGAAGCACCGGCUAACUACGUGCCAGCAGCCGCGGUAAUACGUAGGGUGCAGGCGUUAAUCGGAAUUACUGGGCGUAAAGGGUGCGCAGGCGGUUUGUUAAGACAGGUGUGAAAUCCCCGGGCUUAACCUGGGAAUUGCGCUUGUAACUGGCAGGCUAGAGUGUGGCAGAGGGGGGUGGAAUUCCACGUGUAGCAGUGAAAUGCGUAGAUAUGUGGAGGAACACCGAUGGCGAAGGCAGCCCCCUGGGUUAACACUGACGCUCAUGCACGAAAGCGUGGGGAGCAAACAGGAUUAGAUACCCUGGUAGUCCACGCCCUAAACGAUGUCAACUAGUUGUCGGGGAAGCAAUUCCUUGGUAACGAAGCUAACGCGUGAAGUUGACCGCCUGGGGAGUACGGCCGCAAGGUUA
Molecule: ribosomal RNA, 548 nt
Filed under: uncultured bacterium
Lineage: Bacteria
Description: bacterial SSU rRNA
Rfam family: Bacterial small subunit ribosomal RNA
Source: RNAcentral